RNAcentral lists this ribosomal RNA (301 nucleotides) under uncultured bacterium. RNAcentral's name for it is "partial 16S ribosomal RNA". It matches the Rfam family "Bacterial small subunit ribosomal RNA", at positions 509 to 807 of the family's 1533-position model. The record is from RNAcentral.
CAGUAGCCACGGUAAUACGGAGGAUCCAAGCGUUAUCCGGAAUCAUUGGGUUUAAAGGGUCCGUAGGCGGUCUUGUAAGUCAGUGGUGAAAGCCCAUCGCUCAACGGUGGAACGGCCAUUGAUACUGCAGGACUUGAAUUAUUGGGAAGUAACUAGAAUAUGUAGUGUAGCGGUGAAAUGCUUAGAGAUUACAUGGAAUACCAAUUGCGAAGGCAGGUUACUACCAAUUGAUUGACGCUGAUGGACGAAAGCGUGGGUAGCGAACAGGAUUAGAUACCCCCGUAGUCCCUGUCUCUUAUAC